RNAcentral lists this small RNA (25 nucleotides) under Bombyx mori (domestic silkworm). Its description in RNAcentral is "ovarian small RNA-34222". Lineage: Eukaryota; Metazoa; Arthropoda; Insecta; Lepidoptera; Bombycidae. The record is from RNAcentral.
UGCUGCUCAUAAACAAUAUGAUUAG